UACAAUGGCGUAAACAAAGGGAAGCGAAGCAGUGAUGUGGAGCAAAUCCCAAAAAUAACGUCCCAGUUCGGAUUGUAGUCUGCAACCCGACUACAUGAAGCUGGAAUCGCUAGUAAUCGCGGAUCAGAAUGCCGCGGUGAAUACGUUCCCGGGUCUUGUACACACCGCCCGUCACACCAUGGGAGUUGGUAACGCCCGAAGUCAGUGACCCAACCAAACGGAGGGAGCUGCCGAAGGCGGGACCGGUAACUGGGGUGAAGUCGUAACAAGGUAAC
Molecule: ribosomal RNA, 275 nt
Filed under: uncultured bacterium
Lineage: Bacteria
Description: partial 16S ribosomal RNA
Rfam family: Bacterial small subunit ribosomal RNA
Source: RNAcentral